GAUGAAGAACGCAGCGAAAUGCGAUACCUAAUGUGAAUUGCAAAUUCAGUGAAUCAUCGAGUCUUUGAACGCACAUUGCGCCCCCUGGUAUUCCGGGGGGCAUGCCUGUCCGAGCGUCAUUGCUGCCCUCAAGCACGGCUUGUGUGUUGGGCCCCGUCCUCCGAUCCCGGGGGACGGGCCCGAAAGGCAGCGGCGGCACCGCGUCCGGUCCUCGAGCGUAUGGGGCUUUGUCACCCGCUCUGUAGGCCCGGCCGGCGCUUGCCGAUCAACCCAAAUUUUUAUCCAGGUUGACCUCGGAUCAGGUAGGGAUACCCGCUGAACUUAAGCAUAUCAAUAAGCGGAGGA
RNAcentral lists this unclassified non-coding RNA (345 nucleotides) under soil metagenome. RNAcentral describes it as "partial contains 5.8S ribosomal RNA, internal transcribed spacer 2, and large subunit ribosomal RNA". The stretch from base 1 to 119 matches the Rfam family "5.8S ribosomal RNA", at positions 35 to 154 of the family's 154-position model. The record is from RNAcentral.